GUAAGUUGAAUCCCCGGUGUCACCUUACAGGAGGGGGCAUCAAACCACCCAAUGGUGCUGCUGUAAAGAGUGGUGGUACUGAGUGAUUGGGUAAAGUUUCUGAUCCGU
Molecule: non-coding RNA, 108 nt
Organism: Bacteroidetes bacterium GWF2_43_11
Lineage: Bacteria; Pseudomonadati; Bacteroidota
Source: Rfam